GCAUUUACUUUUUCUUUAACAAACAUAUACACACCACACCGCCACAACACACACUAAAAACACCAUAAUCAGAUCCUCUCCCUCUACCCACACGCCUCUCUCUCUUUCUCUUCAAGAAGACAAACCCAACAACAACCACACCAACACCGACCAGCCAUCUCCACCGGAUCCGUCAGCUGCACCACCCCUCACCGCCGCCACUACUAGCCGGAGGUACAGGCCAGAUCUGGCCGAAAAACCAACCCACGAACCAGACCUGGCCAAAAAAUCACCACACACGACUCCUUCUCUCUUCUCCGUCGCCGAACAACCCACUACCUUCGGAGAGACACCACUCCCUUAAACCCAAACUCCGUCACCAACCACUCUGCCCUUCUCUCUCCUCCUAUUUUUGUUGUUGUAACAUAAUUUUCUUUCAAUCUUUACUCUUAUUUUGCAUUUGUACAGAUCUGGUGGGAGUUUGAAAUUCCAUGACUUGCAUCACUUUAUUUUGUCAUGUAUUUAUUCCAAUUAAUUGUAUUUUUCUAUCUUGUUUGUUGACAUAUUGAUUUGUUAAUUAUUUUAUUUUAUUUUUUGGUGUUUAAUACGUGAUUUUGGUACUAAACAUUUGGUAUAACUUGUAUGUUUUGUUCAGUUGAUUUUUUUUCUUCUUCAAAUUAAUUUUUCGCACUAUUUUCAAUUUUUGAAGAAUUUUGGAUUGUUUGGUCAUAUUAUGUUGCUGAUUUUGUAUUAAUGUUGGAAUUACUUCUUUAAUCAUUUUUGUACGUUAUCAGUUUUGUUGAUAUUUCACUAUAAACAUCAAACACUUGACCGAUGAAAUUAUCUUUCCGUCGGAUACUUAGGUUACCCCAAUACAAAAGAUAGAUCUUUACUUUUCAAGUUAUUUAUUUUAUAUCAAAAAUAGACACAUGGCCAAUGAUAUUAUUUUUUCGUCGAAUUUUUGAGGCCAUCACAUUACAAAGACGGAUUUUACUUUCCUAAAAUAUUAAUUUAUAUCAAGGGCUGACGCAUGACCGAUGAAGAAAUUAUUCGUUGAUUUUCGAGGCCUUCACAAAUAAAAGGAUGGAUUUUACGUAUACAAAUACGUAACAAAAAUAAAUAUUUUCGGGCGAUGACGAAACUUUUAUAACAUCACGAUAAUACAAAAGGUUGUAUGAUUCGUAUCUUGGUAAGGCGUUUUAGGACGGCCGAUUAAUCAAGCAACUAAUUCGUAGUCAUGACGAGUCUUAAACUUAAUCUUAGCGCACCUUUAAAUAAAAAUCAUAAUUUUUAAAAUUACAUAUUUACAUACUUUUUUUAAAAUUUUAUUUUGAUAAUUAUCUAUUUGUUACUAACAUUUUUACAAGUGUUUAUACAGGUUAUUUUGGAAUACUCGGUGGGAGUUGCGUUCAAAGAGGCCUUUAAAUUUUGUAUUGUAUUUUUAUAUUUUUUAUAUUUGUAAAAUAUUAUUAUAGUGAAAAACUUUACUAUUUGGGUGCCGGAUGGGGAUAUUCUUCAUUUACAUAAUUUCAUCGCUUUAAGCAAAACUUAGGCCGUUAAUAUUUAUAUAAAAUAAUUAAUUUAAUCAACUAAUUCACAUAU
RNAcentral lists this long non-coding RNA (1581 nucleotides) under Capsicum annuum. RNAcentral's name for it is "long non-coding RNA (CANN_LNC006209)". The record is from RNAcentral. Lineage: Eukaryota; Viridiplantae; Streptophyta; Magnoliopsida; Solanales; Solanaceae.